GUGGAUUACCUUUUCCGCAGCCAUCGUUUCGGCUCUCGAUCGGGAGUGUCUGGCAACAAAGGACGCUGAUCUUUGGCGUGUUUUGGCGAUGGAAGAAGUAUUACGGUGACUUAGAAUUCUUUUUUACAGAUCACGGUGAUUUUUGGUCGGCGUUGUGGCUGCUUGGACUUGAUCGAUGCAUUCUCGCCCGCGGACAAUCUGGAUCUGAAUAUGAGUAGGUCGUCGAUGAAUGGAUCUCAUGUGCUCUCCUGUUAAUAUAAGGUUCUUUCUGAUGUAGUGGAUGUGUAAAGCCAGAGAUCUCCUCCGAGGGUAAGGUAAAAUAGGGAUGUUGUCUGGUGAUUAAUCUUAUUAGGCUGUCAUCUCGGCCUUUGCCAUAUUGGGUGCGCUCGCAUGGCAGGUCAAAGAACCGUAAUAAAGUAUGCCAAUUUUCGUGUGUUUGGUGGGAACGCAAGGGGUGUUUUCGUACCCCAGGUUCUCACCCUCGUGUGCCUUGUCUCGUUAUUGUGAUCCUUCUAUGUCGCUAGUAAACUCGCUCUUGGAUUCUUUGAACUAGUACUUUAAGGGUACCUUGCAUGACCAAAAUACCAGAGGGUCAUAGUGCAAUCAUCACAUUCUAAUUCGUUUACUUGUCAUCUUAUUUGGUAUUACCUCCACUAGCGCACCCAUUAACGAAAUUGAAAGUUAUGACAUACGUUUCCUAUUAUUUUUACUAACUAAAAUUUGAUCGUCAUUAUGAAUAAUCUCACUCUAUUCAGUCCACGCUUAUAUGCAUAAUCUAUCUUUACCUUUGAUUUAAUGUUGAUAUAUGCUACAUAAUUCCAUUAGUUUUGAAUGUUAAGAUGUAUCGUUUUUUCCUUUCUGAACUUAUUUAUCAAGUUUGAUAGUUUUUGAGGUCAGUUGGUAUGUGAUAAAUUACCCGCUGCUGAUUGUGGAGACAUUGAGCUUAUUCCUUGUCCUUCUAGUGGACUCUUCAAUCUUUUGGAUUUGGAGGACAACUGGGGACAGAAUAAGCUCUUUCUUUGGUUUUGAUUAUAUUUUUACAUAAUACAAUGAAGUUGCUGUCAUUGAAGUUUCUACAUUUUUGCCUUGUCAAAACUAUAUCUUCUCAAUGUGCGUCAUGUGAUUGAAAUUGAUUUAUUAGCUUCUGUUACUUCAUUAUUAUAAUAUCUCAGUUUCGCCAGAUUGUUUGUUAUGUUCAUACCUGCAAUAAAAGGCCCGAUGGUGUGUAUGUUCAAUUUGCUGUUACAGACUUCAUACCUGAUUGUAGGCAAAUAAGAAUUUUAUGUUUAAUUGUUAUUGCUGUAGCAUGAUUUAUUAAGAAUGUUAUACCGUUAUGCUUACUCAGGUGAAUGGAAUAGUCAAAAUUUUUUCCUGUUGUAAUGCAGUGAUCGAGUACACACUUCUUGAUAUAAGGAACAUCUUAAAUAUUGUGAUAGGUAUUUCCAUAAAUAUUAGAGUUCAUUGAUUAUAUAUUGUUACAGGGAACUAACGGCAUGUCUGUUGUUUUUGUUACAUUAAUUUUACCUUGCAUCUUUAAUUUUAUUAUUUACAUUGGAUUGGAAGUUUUUCUAAAAAUAGUACUGUUCUGCAAUAUGAUCUGUUUAUGGUUUCAUAUGCAUACUGGAUUUUCCUUUUCUUAUGGUGGUUCCAGUUUAUACUUUUAAUCAAUAUUUUCAUAUCCUUGUCACUCUUGCCAACCAAGAUUCCACACAUUUAUUUGGGAUUAUAUGGUUUAUGAUUUACUGUGGAUUGAUAUGUAAUUUUGACAGAUCUUUAAUAACGAUUUGUAGUUUAAUAUAUUUCUUUUGUAGUUUAAUAUUUUUUUGAGCAGUUCAUUUAUUAGUAUUAUUGUUAUUAAUUUUGACAUUUUCACUUAUGGUUGUUGGAUGCUUGAAUGUUAUAAUUUCUGCACUGUUUAUUUGUUGCGCAAACAAUUUCUCAGAUUAAAUUUUGGCAAGCUUACUUUUAGUUGCCUUGAUCUAUUAAGUGGCAAUUGUAAUGUUGCAUAGUGUGGAAUCUGGUAAUUUGAAAUAAUCAUAUCAUAUAUUUGAGUAAAUAUGAUAAAUUGAAUUAUCUUGUUGUUGCUUAAUUAAUAAUCUAGUUUUAAAUAUUGAUAUUUUGUUGUCAAUAAGGUAUGUAAUUCAAAGUAUUGAUUUAUUGAAUUUUUUUAGGCUGUAACUUCAUCUGGAACCCAAUUACUGCUUCUCCUUAGAAUAACCGCUGUAUAACAUAAAUUUAAUGUUGUUUCUCGAUAAUGGGAUUUCUCUUUGUAACAUUUGGCCUUUACUAGUUAGAAUCCAUUCGGUCGUGUAGUGUUAAAAGAAGUACUGUAUUUAAGGAAAAUCAUUAAAAUUUGUUUCUUGAGAUGCUCGUGGAUCUUCAAGCUCAGACUGGUCGAGCGCUCGGUCGAAUUCGAUCGAGAGGUUGAUGGUUCGAGUCCAUCAAGAUCCUUUUUUUUUUUUUUGUGGAGAGUUUACUGUGUGUACAGGCUUCUUUAUUAUCUUCUACACUUUUGACUGUACCGUGUUUUAUUGUUCUUAGUAUAAACCAUGUUCAGUGUUA
This is a long non-coding RNA of Musa acuminata AAA Group (dessert banana), 2562 nucleotides long. RefSeq lists it as uncharacterized. The transcript has 2 exons. Lineage: Eukaryota; Viridiplantae; Streptophyta; Magnoliopsida; Zingiberales; Musaceae. The record is from RefSeq and is a predicted model, not a curated record.